GACGAACGCUGGCGGUAUGCCUAACACAUGCAAGUCGAACGGGCUUUUCGGAGCUAGUGGCGGACGGGUGAGUAACGCGUGAGAAUCUGCCUUCAGGAUGGGGAUAACAGGGAGAAAUCGCUGCUAAAACCCAAUGUGCCGAAAGGUGAAAUACUUGUAGCCAGAAGAGGAGCUCGCGUCCGAUUAGUUAGUUGGUGGGGUAAGAGCCUACCAAGGCAGCGAUCGGUAGCUGGUCUGAGAGGAUGAGCAGCCACACUGGGACUGAGACACGGCCCAGACUCCUACGGGGGGCAGCAGUGGGGAAUUUUCCGCAAUGGGCGAAAGCCUGACGGAGCAAUACCGCGUGAGGGAGGAAGGCUUUUGGGUUGUAAACCUCUUUUGUUAAGGAAGAAGAAAGUGACGGUACCCACAAAGGAAGCACCGGCUAACUCUGUGCCAGCCGCCGCCGUAA
RNAcentral lists this ribosomal RNA (451 nucleotides) under uncultured bacterium. Its description in RNAcentral is "partial 16S ribosomal RNA". It matches the Rfam family "Bacterial small subunit ribosomal RNA", at positions 28 to 523 of the family's 1533-position model. The record is from RNAcentral.